AGCUGAGGCCCCCCUAAAACCUAAUUGACAAACCCGAACCUUAAACCCAUCCUUGGAGUGGAAUCGUCGAGGUCGCGACAGAGCAGAGGUCGUGGUAAUCGAAUUCCGGCAAUCUGGUUUCGUAGUGAGUAUCGGAUUUUAGACAGAAGAUUGGAGGUGUGACGGAGAGGAAGAUUCCGAUGGCGAGCGAGGAAAACUAAAUUGGGCACGGCGUGCGAGAAACGAACCAAGUCUGAUCGAUUAAGUCCAGUAAGCAGAUCAUCUUCAUGCCUCAAAGUGCUGCCGUCAGCUGCGCCUCACCUUGCCCGAUCAGAUCUCCACCUCUCCCGACAAGAGCAAGGGAUAGGGGCUACACCGACUGCGGGCAAGUAUUACAUACCUUGUAUCUAUAGUCUUGAAUUUCCUUGUAGAUCUUUCAGUCUUAAAUUUCUGGCUAAAAGUUUAUCCUAACUUCAACUCGAUCAAGAAAAUGGUUACGACUGGGGAAAUGUAAACGUAGAAGGUUGUUGCCAGAUAAUCUGGAGAUUAAUCUGCUGGAAGUACAAUGGAGGUUUUGGCGUUUUGCUGAUAUGGGACCAACCAUUAAGGCAAAUACAACCUUAUAUAUAGAGGCUGCAAUUUCAGCAUUAUCAAGGGGUUAAGCAAACUGCACCUAAAGGGCAUCUUCAGGAAUGCUGGACCACAUUAUUGUGAAACAAGUGUUUGAAGCUACCCUUGAAGCAGAUAGCGGCUGUUUCAGUCAUGGAUUCACCUUACCAACUAAUCCGUUUGAUCCAAAUGCAAAGAAGCAAACUGCUGGAGGUUAAAAGGUGGUAGUUUGCGUAUGUAACUUGAUUGCUGGAAGACCCCACUCCCUGCUGAAUUCGUUUUUGCAGAAGAGUCUUAGUUUAAUCACUAUUUGUUAAAACAAUUUUAUUCCUUUCAAAAAUAUAUGCAAUGUCAUUGUAUAAUAUAAUAAAGUAAGCUCAUGUUAAGGAUUUAAAAUAUUUAAGCAGACAAUAAGGUCUUAGUUUUUAGUGUAGAAAUUGCAAUUCAAAAUGCUCAGUAUGUUGUCUUUUUAAAGAGAGUUGCAGAAAACGGGAUUCUGAUGUUGUGUUGUGUGUGAAAUUGAAGUUCUCGCCAUUGAUA
This is a long non-coding RNA of Rosa chinensis, 1128 nucleotides long. RefSeq lists it as uncharacterized. The transcript is spliced from 4 exons. The record is from RefSeq and is a predicted model, not a curated record. NCBI's taxonomy places the organism in Eukaryota, Viridiplantae, Streptophyta, Magnoliopsida, Rosales, Rosaceae.